UAGUCCACGCUGUAAACGAUGUCGAUUUGGAGGUUGUGGGCUUGACCCGUGGCUUCCGGAGCUAACGCGUUAAAUCGACCGCCUGGGGAGUACGGCCGCAAGGUUAAAACUCAAAUGAAUUGACGGGGGCCCGCACAAGCGGUGGAGCAUGUGGUUUAAUUCGAUGCAACGCGAAGAACCUUACCUACCCUUGACAUCCAGAGAAUUCGCUAGAGAUAGCUUAGUGCCUUCGGGAACUCUGAGACAGGUGCUGCAUGGCUGUCGUCAGCUCGUGUUGUGAAAUGUUGGGUUAAGUCCCGCAACGAGCGCAACCCUUAUCCUUUGUUGCCAGCGAGUAAUGUCGGGAACUCAAAGGAGACUGCCGGUGAUAAACCGGAGGAAGGUGGGGAUGACGUCAAGUCAUCAUGGCCCUUACGAGUAGGGCUACACUCGUGCUACAAUGGCAUAUACAAAGAGAAGCGAACUCGCGAGAGCAAGCGGACCUCACAAAGUAUGUCGUAGUCCGGAUUG
This 510-nucleotide ribosomal RNA is filed under the name uncultured bacterium. RNAcentral's name for it is "bacterial SSU rRNA". It matches the Rfam family "Bacterial small subunit ribosomal RNA", at positions 791 to 1300 of the family's 1533-position model. The record is from RNAcentral.